Molecule: long non-coding RNA, 487 nt
Filed under: Callithrix jacchus (white-tufted-ear marmoset)
Lineage: Eukaryota; Metazoa; Chordata; Mammalia; Primates; Cebidae
Description: lncRNA (ENSCJAG00000073194.1)
Source: RNAcentral
AAAGUUUUGGAUGCAAGUACAUAGUUUAUUUGGGAAAUCAAGCCAAGUCUGAGAAACUCCAGAAGAAGAUAAGGACCUGAGGCAUGGAAGGGAAAAAAUCAAGAGGGUGCAUAGUGAAGCCAAUUACCAAAGAGGGAAAGUGGAGCUCAAUCCUGUUGGCAAAAUCUGGGAAACACUACAGAAGAUACCUUAGAGAAAUAAGAAUAUGGCAAUUGGACCUGAAGGAAAAUGAUGUCUCUACAAUUAAUCAUCAUAGGGUUUGGAAGGCCCAAGAAGAAAACUAGGUGAGUUUUACUUAGUCCUAAUUAUAUGAGUCCUAGAAAUUAAAUGUUGUAGUGAUAAUGAAAGGUCUGUUCAUGUUGUACAACUACAAGAUGUAACAGGUAACUACUCAUACAUGGGAAUAGAUUUACCAAGGUUGGGCUUAAAGGCAUAUGAUUCUUUGGCCUAGAAACUUGGCCAAGAGAGAUUAAGAUUGUGAUGAGGA